CUUUUAGUUGUCACAUUGUUAAGUGUAAAGAAAUAGACCAGGUGCUCUGAUGCAAGCUAAAGGUGAGAAAACAAAAGAAGGGGGGUUGAAUUGUGUUGGUUUUUUCAGAAAAUAUUUUCAAAGUGUUUUAACAAUACUAAGGAGUAAAGAGAUUUAGAGGAUCAGAGAGAGAGAAGACAACACAAGCAAUUAUACUAGUUCACCCGACAAACAGAGGUGAUCCAGAGUAGUAGCUGAUAGUUGCUGUUAUUUGCUGUUGUGAGUGGAUUUACCUCACGUGUGUCUUAGGAGCUCUGAUACGUAACGGGAGGAGGAUAAUUU
This 321-nucleotide long non-coding RNA is filed under the name Medicago truncatula (barrel medic). Its description in RNAcentral is "lncRNA gene9922". Lineage: Eukaryota; Viridiplantae; Streptophyta; Magnoliopsida; Fabales; Fabaceae. The record is from RNAcentral.